Molecule: ribosomal RNA, 254 nt
Filed under: uncultured bacterium
Lineage: Bacteria
Description: partial 16S ribosomal RNA
Rfam family: Bacterial small subunit ribosomal RNA
Source: RNAcentral
UACGUAGGGGCCUAGCGUUGUCCGGAUUUAUUGGGCGUAAAGAGCUCGUAGGCGGUUCGGUAAGUCAGGUGUGAAAUCUCCACGCUCAACGUGGAGGCGCCACCUGAAACUGCCGUGACUCGAGUCCGGUAGGGGAGUGUGGAAUUCCCGGUGUAGCGGUGAAAUGCGUAGAGAUGUGGAGGAACACCGAUGGCGAAGGCAGCCUCCUGGGCCAGCAUUGACGCUGAGGAGCGAAAGCUAGGGGAGCAAACGGG